This 740-nucleotide ribosomal RNA is filed under the name uncultured organism. Its description in RNAcentral is "bacterial SSU rRNA". It matches the Rfam family "Bacterial small subunit ribosomal RNA", at positions 695 to 1439 of the family's 1533-position model. The record is from RNAcentral.
UACCACCAGGAACACCGAUUGCGAAAGCAGCUUACCAAACCAGCACUGACGCUGAAGCACGAAAGCGUGGGUAGCGAACAGGAUUAGAUACCCUGGUAGUCCACGCAGUAAACGAUGCUCACUCGCUGUUGGCAAUAGAUCGUCAGCGGCUAAGGGAAACCGAUAAGUGAGCCACCUGGGGAGUACGAUCGCAAGAUUGAAACUCAAAGGAAUUGACGGGGGCCCGCACAAGCGGUGGAACAUGUGGUUUAAUUCGAUGAUACGCGAGGAACCUUACCUGGGCUUAAAUGUACGAUGCAUAAGUGUGAAAGCACUUUUUCCUUCGGGACUUUGUACGAGGUGCUGCAUGGUUGUCGUCAGCUCGUGUCGUGAGAUGUUGGGUUAAGUCCCGCAACGAGCGCAACCCUUACCCCUUGUUGCCAUCAGGUAAUGCUGAGCACUCUAGGGGAACUGUCGGUGAUAAACCGGAGGAAGGUGGGGAUGACGUCAAAUCAUCACGGCCCUUAUGUCCAGGGCUACACACGUGCUACAAUGGCCGGUACAAUGAGUUGCGAGACCGCGAGGUGGAGCUAAUCUCAAAAAACCGGUCUCAGUUCGGAUUGCAGUCUGCAACUCGACUGCAUGAAGCUGGAAUCGCUAGUAAUCGCGGAUCAGCACGCCGCGGUGAAUACGUUCCCGGGCCUUGUACACACCGCCCGUCACACCACCCGAGUUGCAGCACCCGAAGUGGCUGAUCUAAC